GAGAUGAGGUGCUUGCACCUUAUCUUAGCGGCGGACGGGUGAGUAAUGCUUAGGAAUCUGCCUAUUAGUGGGGGACAACAUUUCGAAAGGAAUGCUAAUACCGCAUACGUCCUACGGGAGAAAGCAGGGGAUCUUCGGACCUUGCGCUAAUAGAUGAGCCUAAGUCGGAUUAGCUAGUUGGUGGGGUAAAGGCCUACCAAGGCGACGAUCUGUAGCGGGUCUGAGAGGAUGAUCCGCCACACUGGGACUGAGACACGGCCCAGACUCCUACGGGAGGCAGCAGUGGGGAAUAUUGGACAAUGGGGGGAACCCUGAUCCAGCCAUGCCGCGUGUGUGAAGAAGGCCUUAUGGUUGUAAAGCACUUUAAGCGAGGAGGAGGCUACUGAGACUAAUACUCUUGGAUAGUGGACGUUACUCGCAGAAUAAGCACCGGCUAACUCUGUGCCAGCAGCCGCGGUAAUACAGAGGGUGCGAGCGUUAAUCGGAUUUACUGGGCGUAAAGCGUGCGUAGGCGGCUUUUUAAGUCGGAUGUGAAAUCCCCGAGCUUAACUUGGGAAUUGCAUUCGAUACUGGGAAGCUAGAGUAUGGGAGAGGAUGGUAGAAUUCCAGGUGUAGCGGUGAAAUGCGUAGAGAUCUGGAGGAAUACCGAUGGCGAAGGCAGCCAUCUGGCCUAAUACUGACGCUGAGGUACGAAAGCAUGGGGAGCAAACAGGAUUAGAUACCCUGGUAG
RNAcentral lists this ribosomal RNA (730 nucleotides) under uncultured bacterium. RNAcentral's name for it is "bacterial SSU rRNA". It matches the Rfam family "Bacterial small subunit ribosomal RNA", at positions 68 to 793 of the family's 1533-position model. The record is from RNAcentral.